Molecule: unclassified non-coding RNA, 3390 nt
Filed under: Pogonomyrmex barbatus (red harvester ant)
Lineage: Eukaryota; Metazoa; Arthropoda; Insecta; Hymenoptera; Formicidae
Description: aTP-binding cassette sub-family G member 8, transcript variant X1
Source: RNAcentral
GAGGGAAACUCGUGGGGGCCUCCGUCAGCGGUAGCGGCCAGCGUUCGGACAGGACUCCGGUGAGUCGCGCGAUACCUGGCGCUUCGCUUCGAUCGCGAGCCGAGGAAGAUAUUCCGGAUAGAAGAAUCAACACCGACGACGACGACGACAACAACGACGACGGCAACGACGACGACGACGGCGGCGGCGUCGCAGUGACGACGCGUCGCCCAAGUAAGAAAAAUCCGUUUUUUUUCAUCCUCGCGGGUGACGACCCUUGCGCACGCAAGGGAGGUGUAUCCCUUUUUUUCUGUCACGCGAAGUGCUGAAAGUCCGAUCGGCCGGCGAUCGGCGGUGGAGGACGACGACCGGAAUGGAGAGGAGGCAGCAGCAUCGUCGUCGUGACUCGAGCAGCUUCCAAGGUUGAGGCCCAGCGCGAAUACACAGCCGCCACCGGAAAGUAUGGGCUCGGAGGCCUGGGAGCUGGAGAGGAGGUACUCGGUGCCGGGUGCUUUGGACACCAGGGGGCUGGAGCCGCCGGCCAGCGAGGAUCUGCACGCAUGGUCGAUUUACAGGCAAAACCUGAACUCCGACUUCACGGACUCCGCGCUCGGCUCCGCCGAGAAGUCGCCGCUGCCGUACGGGAACUUCCAGCUGCGCGACUCCACGGUGCAGAGCAUACUCCGGCAUCCGCGGUACGGGCCCAAGAGUCCGUUGGCCAACAACUCUUACACGUACUUAAAGUUCGGUCUACCGCGAGUCCUGCCGCCCAGCUCGCGGAAUCGCGACGGAUCCAGCGGCUACGACUCCAGCGAGGAAGGACGACGCGUGUCGCACGCAGGUGCUCCAGUGCAUACCACUUCGAUUAUGCGUUCAGCCAGAAGCGACCCGGAUUUUAGGCACGUCCACGCUGUCCCGAGGGAGUCAGCGCAUUCUCAGCUAACUAUCGCGAGGGAUCACCCGAGGCUGAGAAGUGCCAGCGAGGCCAAUCUCUUGCAGAGUGCAGUUAGGACCAAUCGGCGACACAGCAUCGCGCCAAUCGAUCCCGGAUACAUAGCACACGGACACGGUAUCCUGGGACCGGAAGGUUACGCGCUGCCAAUAAGACCCAUACCGUGUCUGCAACAUCCUCACCUACAGCUGCGAGGCGUGGAGGCUUCGGGCUCGGAUGGGCUGCCGCUUCUUCGUGGUAUCACCCUCGAGGCCGGCGCCGCCGAAGUGCUGGCCAUUAUGGCGACUACCGAGAAGGAAGGCACGCAGAUCAUCGAGACGAUCGCGGGCAGGAGGCGUAUAAAAAGGGGCGAUAUUCUGCUCAAUGGAAGAUCCGUAUCGGCACGCAGCCUGAGAUCUCGCGUUGCCUAUCUACCCACGGAGAGCGGCCUAACUCCUGGACUGACGGCUCAGCAGACUCUCAGCUUCUACAUGUUGCUGAGAGGCGGUCGCAACACCACCACGCUCGAGGCCGAGGCUAUUCUGCAGGAGCUCGGCUUGGAGGCGACCAAGCACUGCCUGGUCAACACCCUGACAACAUCCGAGGCCCGACGACUGGCUCUCGCCUGCCGGCUGCUUCAGGACUCGCACAUUCUCGCCUUGGACAGACCCAUCCACGGUUUGGACAUCUUCGACGCCUUCUUCCUCGUGGAAUACCUAAGGCAAUGGGCCAGCCGCGGUCAGCGUCUCGUCGUCCUGACCCUGCAUCCGCCCACCUACGAGAUCCUAACGAUGGUGUCGAGGGUCGCGCUUACUUCCGGCGGUCGAGUCAUGUACUCCGGGCCCAGAAGAGACAUGCUGCCAUAUUUCGCGUUCGCCGAAUUCCCCUGCCCGCCCUUCAAGAAUCCGUCCGAUUAUUAUCUCGAUUUAGUAACGCUGGAUGACUUGUCGGCGGAAGCGAUGCUGGAAUCUUCGCAGAGGAUAGAUCAUUUGGCGGAGCUGGCCAGAACGAGGCUACCCCCGCUCAGUGAUCCUGGACCACCGGGCGCACUUCCGCCCUCGAUGUCCGGUCCCAAUAUAUUUGUGCAAUUCUACGCGCUAUUGUUGCGAACGCUCAUCUACAGUCAACCGUGGACGUUGACGAGGCUGUUGCGGAAGAUCGUCAUUUCCGCGUCGCUCAGUGUUUUACUUGGUGCAAUAUUCUGGGAUAUCGCCAGUGAAUCGAAUCUAUACCUGCGAGACAGAAUAGGCUUUCAUUAUGCUAGUUUGGGCAUCCUUUUCUGGCCUCUGAAUCUUCUGGCGAUGUGCGAUGUAGCCAAUAACAGGCCGAAUGUGGAGAGGGACAUCAGAGAUGGGCUGUAUGGUAGAUUUAUCUACAUUCUAGUGGAGCUCAUUUGCAGUGUGCCGUCGUGGUGCGUGAUCUACCUGAUAUAUUUGGCACCAGCGUUUGCGAUGUCGGGGUUGCAUCUCGUGCCGGAUGAGAAUCUGACGUCGCUGUGGAACUAUCUCAUCGUCGGCCUGCUGCAUCUGAUGCUGCAGCAUCUCAUCUGCAAGUUCUUCGCGCAUGUGAUCAAAUGGACUUAUUUGGCAUCGUUGCUCGGCGGCGUAGUGUUGGGCGAGAUGAUCCUGGCUGGCGGGGCGACCUUGCACCUGGACAAUUUGCCGUCGUGGUAUCAGCAAAUCAACCCGAUGCAAUGGUCAAUGUCGAUGCUGCUGCCGCGGCUGUACAAGAGCGAGAGCGUGGGGAAAUUGGCUAAUUGCAAACCCAAGCAGAUCCAACGGCAGGACAUCAUUAUUCAGGCGGCGUGCGAGCCGCCCGAUGGCGCGUUGGCUCUUCGCGAAGUCGCCCUCGACAAGUUGAACGUACGAGGGGAGCUUUGGCUGGGCAUAGGCUUGGCUAUCGUUGCCGUGCUGAUCAUCUUCGCUUUCAUAUGUGUCAAGUACGUCACCCCGAAGAGGCCCAGAAGCGCUCCAAAUAAACCCUGAUUUGCCGCACACAAUUUGAAAAAUCAUCAUCGAGAAGUAGAAUCAAGAUCGUACAGGAUGCCACGAAGACAAUUUAGGUUAAAACUCACGUAUCAAUCAAGUAUAAGUUCGUAAAAAAUUCUUAUGGAUAUUCUAUUGUCCGAUGUAGGUUUUUUUACUAUUCAUUAAAUUUUAACAAAGAUAUUUUGAGCUUGAUUUUCGUUGACAAAAAGCAUUUCGGUAGAAUCUACCUUGCUAUUUUUUAUUGCGCUCGUAAAGUUUCGUCAACGUCUACUCCGUUGCGAUUCUUUAAAGAAAUACGCUUUAGGGACUCGCAGGCGUAGACUGAAAGGCGGUUUGAAGUACAAAGCUUAACGAGACAUUAUUCUUUAGCUUGUAAUAGAAAAUCGCUGUUUAUAAACGUUAUAACGAUGAAUAAACGCGCUUAUAACUUCGUAUAUAUCUUAACUGAUACGUAUUGUUAACCGUAUAAAAUAAACAUUUUCAUGAAACAAA